Molecule: ribosomal RNA, 1457 nt
Filed under: bacterium THCL19
Lineage: Bacteria
Description: partial 16S ribosomal RNA
Rfam family: Bacterial small subunit ribosomal RNA
Source: RNAcentral
UUCUAGCGUUGCUUACAUGCAGUCGACGGCAGCCGGAGCUUGCUCUGGUGGCGAGUGGCGAACGGGUGAGUAAUAUCUCGGAACGUACCCUGGAGUGGGGGAUAACGUAGCGAAAGUUACGCUAAUACCGCAUACGAUCUAAGGAUGAAAGUGGGGGAUUCCCAGACCUCUCGUUCUCGGAGAGGCCCAGAUCUGAUUAUCUAUUUGGGGGGGGAAAAGCCCCCCCCGGCGUCUAUCUCUAUCUGGUGUGAGAGAAGAACCCCCCACACUGUAACUGAGACACGGUCCACACUCUCCCAGGGGGGGCCAGUGGGGAAUUUUUUACACUGGGGGCACGCCUGAUCCACCUAUGCCCCGCGAGAGAAAAAAGCCUUCUCGUUGUAAAACUCUUUUUUCUCGGAAGAAACACUGUGAGCUAAUAUCUCUUCUGCUAGUCACUACCCCAAGAAAAAGCACCCCCUAAAUCUACGCCCCCAGCCCCGGGAAUACUCAAGGUGCGAGCGCUAUUCUCAAAUUCUCGGCGGAAAAACGCGCGCACCCGGCUUUUUUAAACUCAAAUGAAAUCCCCCGGUCCCCCCGGGAAAUUUUCUUUUAAACUCGCAAGGUUAAACUCGGGAAAAAGGGGUGGAAAUUCUCCCCCGUAACCCCGAAAAGCGCAAAAAAUUUGGAGGGGGAACCCCCCCCCCCGGGUUCAAGUUGAAGUUCAUACCGAAGGGGGGGGGACCAACCGGAUUCGAUCCCGUGGUAUUCCCCGCCUAAAACAAUGUUUAAGUGGUGGGCGGUUAGUUAUUGGACUGGGUAACCCAGUUAACGGUGAAAGUACCCCGCUUGGGGAGUGGGGGUGGCAAGAUUAAAACUCAAAAGGAAUGGGCGGGGCCCCGCACAAGCAGUAGAUGAUGUGGAUUAAUUCGAAGCAACGGGAAAAACCUGGCCUUCCCUUGACAUGGCUGGAAUCCCCGAGAGAUUGGGGAGUGCUGGAAAGAGAACCAGUACACAGGUGCUGCAUGGCUGUCGUCAGCUCGUGUCGUGAGAUGUUGGGUUAAGUCCCGCAACGAGCGCAACCCUUGUCAUUAGUUGGUACGAAAGGGCACUCUAAUGAGACUGCCGGUGACAAACCGGAGGAAGGUGGGGAUGACGUCAAGUCCUCAUGGCCCUUAUGGGUAGGGCUUCACACGUCAUACAAUGGUACAUACAGAGCGCCGCCAACCCGCGAGGGGGAGCUAAUCGCAGAAAGUGUAUCGUAGUCCGGAUUGUAGUCUGCAACUCGACUGCAUGAAGUUGGAAUCGCUAGUAAUCGCGGAUCAGCAUGUCGCGGUGAAUACGUUCCCGGGUCUUGUACACACCGCCCGUCACACCAUGGGAGCGGGUUUCACCAGAAGUAGGUAGCUUAACCGCAAGGAGGGCGCUUACCACGGUAGGAUUCGUGANUGGGGGAAGUCAACAAGAUGCAACAUAAA